AGCGAACGCUGGCGGCAGGCCUAACACAUGCAAGUCGAGCGGCCGUAGCAAUACGGCAGCGGCAGACGGGAUAGUAACACGUGGGAACGUACCCUUCGGUUCGGAAUAACUCAGGGAAACUUGAGCUAAUACCGGAUACGUCCGAGAGGAGAAAGAUUUAUCGCCGAGGGAUCGGCCCGCGUCUGAUUAGCUUGUUGGUGAGGUAACGGCUCACCAAGGCAACGACGGGUAGCUGGUCGAGAGGAUGGCCAGCCACAUUGGGACUGAGACACGGCCCAGACUCCUACGGGAGGCAGCAGUGGGGAAUAUUGCGCAAUGGGCGAAAGCCUGACGCAGCGACGCCGCGUGUGGGAUGACGGUCUUCGGAUUGUAAACCACUGUCGGGAGGGACGAAUACGCCGCAAGGCGGGUGACGGUACCUCCAAAGGAAGCACCGGCUAAC
RNAcentral lists this ribosomal RNA (442 nucleotides) under uncultured bacterium. RNAcentral's name for it is "bacterial SSU rRNA". It matches the Rfam family "Bacterial small subunit ribosomal RNA", at positions 29 to 501 of the family's 1533-position model. The record is from RNAcentral.